AGAGUUUGAUUCUGGCUCAGGAUGAACGCUAGCUACAGGCUUAACACAUGCAAGUCGUGGGGCAGCAUGGUUGUCGCUGCAACAACCGAUGGCGACCGGCGCACGGGUGAGUAACGCGUAUCCAACCUGGCCCUUAGUAGGGGAUAGCCCGGCGAAAGUCGGAUUAAUACCCUAUGUUUUCCCAUGAGAGCAUUUGAAAGGGAACAAAGAUUCAUCGCUAGGGGAUGGGGAUGCGUCCGAUUAGCUUGCCGGCGGGGUAACGGCCCACCGGGGCGACGAUCGGUAGGGGUUCUGAGAGGAAGGUCCCCCCACAUUGGAACUGAGACACGGUCCAAACUCCUACGGGAGGCAGCAGUGAGGAAUAUUGGUCAAUGGGCGAGAGCCUGAACCAGCCCAAGUAGCGUGAGGGAUGACGGCCCUACGGGUUGUAAACCUCUUUUGUACGGGAAUAAAGUGCGCCACGUGUGGCGUUUUGUAUGUACCGUAAGAAUAAGGACCGGCUAAUUCCGUGCCAGCCGCAGC
Molecule: ribosomal RNA, 522 nt
Filed under: uncultured bacterium
Lineage: Bacteria
Description: bacterial SSU rRNA
Rfam family: Bacterial small subunit ribosomal RNA
Source: RNAcentral